GACAUCCUGGAUGGUAGUGACAAAUUGAUUUAGAAGGUUUAACAUAAUUUCACAUCAACUGCGAUAUUCCAUGCAAAAUGAAGGAAACACAACUUGAAUUCUGGUGAAAUUAUACAUAAAAGUAUAUUUAGGUAUCAGACUCAGGUCUCACUCACAGCCACGCUUCCUUCCCUUAUGAAUGUGCCAAAUCUGUGGGCAUGACUGUGCUGCCCUUAACUACUAAAGCACACUCUCUUCCACAGCUGUGAAGAUAACCCAGAUAUUCUGGUAACUUUCUACUAUCUAGCAUACAGUACUUAAUAGUUGUGUAAGCCAUUUGCAAAGCAUGUGCAGUGCACCCUUCUCACAAUUAGUCCAUACGGAGGAUAACAGCCUACCACUGUUAUUAGUUACUUCUUUAGCUCAAAAGGUAAAGUUUUGUGCUGUGGAUCUAAAACUCCUCUGUUGAAAUCCUUUUGAUGACCUAUGUGUGAGGUCAAUGUCAUUCCAGAUAAUAAAAAUUUAGUCUAUUUUAAUGUUUCUGAUAAAAUAUUAAAAUUACAUUCAAAACCCACUACAUUAAAAGUACAUUAAGGUUUCAGAGUCCAUCACUUAAAUGGAAAUGCCAGAAAUUAGGUUAUCCUGUAAUUAUGAAAAAAUGUUUAUUAUUUGAUCACAUAUUCUUUGUUCUAUGGGACUCCAGACUCUUUCAAUGCAUAUGCUAGACAGUAAAUGAGGCAGAGUGUUGCAAAAAGAGAAAGGACUUUCUCCUGUGUUCAAAGCAUGUAACUGGAAGGCAGAAGUGGGGGAUUUUGGCUCUGCUACAGACCUCUUAUAUGAUGAUAGACUCAUAAUACAUAUGCCCAAGUGGGAUAAAUUAAGAUUGCAUGAGCAACUUUAAUUCUGGCAUUGCCCAAUUUUUGAGUGCUAGACUUUGCAACCUUAACAUUUAUUUAAUGUAGUGUUUUAUAUGUAAUUGUAAUUGUUGUAUAUAAUAGAAAUUCAUAAAUGCAUUGCAUUUACUAUUCAGUGAAAUUUUAUUGCAUAAUCAUUUAAAUGAGAAAUACUUAUAUUGCAGCAUCCACCCAAACUCUGAAACAUCAGAAGGUCCUUCAUUACAAUUACUGUUACAUACACUUUUGCAGAGUCCAGGGAAAACUAUACAUGUAGGAUCCAGAGCAGUGAAUGGGUGUCAUGUGCCCAGACUAAUCAGACUAAGUUCAGCUGUCCACCAGCAGAACAAAUGACUACACAAGAGCAUUAUUAAAUGUACUUAGUAGACAAAUUAAAUGGAAAAAUUAAGAUUUUCUCUAAUCCCACACAGUUUUACACCUCUUAUGGGCUACUUGUUACAACAUUAAAUAAAAAAAAAUUGGACAGAAAUGUGAUCAAGUUGAAAGUGUCCAGUUAAACAAAGAGUGCAAACCAGCCAUCUCUCACACAUUUCAGGAGAUACGAGAAGUGUAUAUAUACAGUCUAAUACUUUACAUUUUCACAGGUCAAGACCCUAGUCCAUACAAUGGAUAGGUUCCCCUUUAGGUGCUUCCAUUGGAUAUGAUGGCAGUGAGCUGAUCAGACAUCUAGCAAAUAGGAAAGCUGGGUCUAUGGUAAACGGCACACUAUGGCUUUUUUUGUUUAAUGAUACACUCCAGUUUAAGAGACUGUAUGCUUAAAUAAUAACAUUUUGUUAAAAUGACACAAGUCCCUGAAUUUUCUUUCUUGCAUUCCGUGUUGAAUUGCAGUGAAUUCUGCUGCCCUGAGACUCAUUAUCAGAUGUAAUCCAUGCUUGAAGAGGAAUAUCCUACUUCACAGGAUUAAUAAUGCUGCUGCAAAAAAGGGAGUGAGAGAAGGUUACUAGAUGAUGGAGAAGAAAGGAGAUGCAUGUGACAUCCCUCAGCUGA
Long non-coding RNA from Dermochelys coriacea (leatherback sea turtle), 1880 nucleotides. RefSeq lists it as uncharacterized. The record is from RefSeq and is a predicted model, not a curated record. The transcript has 3 exons. NCBI's taxonomy places the organism in Eukaryota, Metazoa, Chordata, Testudines, Dermochelyidae.